This 329-nucleotide ribosomal RNA is filed under the name uncultured bacterium. RNAcentral describes it as "bacterial SSU rRNA". It matches the Rfam family "Bacterial small subunit ribosomal RNA", at positions 29 to 372 of the family's 1533-position model. The record is from RNAcentral.
AAUGAACGUUGGCGGCGUGGAUUAGGCAUGCAAGUCGCGCGACAAGGAACCUUCGGGUUCUGGAGGAGCGGCAAACGGGGUAGUAAGGCAUCGGAACGUACCCUCUUGUUGGGAAUAGCCGCGGGAAACUGCGAGUAAUGCCCAAUAAUCCCUACGGGGCAAAGGCCCGCCGCAGGAGGAGCGGCCGAUGUGAUACCAGCUAGUUGGUGAGGUAAUGGCUCACCAAGGCUUAGACGUCUAGGGGGUGUGAGAGCAUGGCCCCCACCACUGGGACGUGAGAUACUGCCCACGACACCUACGGGUGGCUGCAGUCGAGAAUCUUCGGCAAU